This 253-nucleotide ribosomal RNA is filed under the name uncultured bacterium. RNAcentral's name for it is "partial 16S ribosomal RNA". It matches the Rfam family "Bacterial small subunit ribosomal RNA", at positions 524 to 776 of the family's 1533-position model. The record is from RNAcentral.
GACAGAGGGUGCAAACGUUGUUCGGAAUUACUGGGCGUAAAGCGUGCGCAGACGGUUGCGUAAGUCAGAUGUGAAAGCCCCGGGCUCAACCUGGGAAUUGCAUUUGAGACUGCGUAGCUAGGGUGCGGAAGAGGGAAGCGGAAUUUCCGGUGUAGCGGUGAAAUGCGUAGAUAUCGUCAGGAACGCCGAUGGUGAAGACAGGUGACUGGGCUAGUUCUGACACUGAGGCACGAAAGCGUGGGGAGCGAACGGG